This 253-nucleotide ribosomal RNA is filed under the name uncultured bacterium. RNAcentral's name for it is "partial 16S ribosomal RNA". It matches the Rfam family "Bacterial small subunit ribosomal RNA", at positions 524 to 776 of the family's 1533-position model. The record is from RNAcentral.
UACAGAGGUCCCGAGCGUUGUUCGGAUUUAUUGGGCGUAAAGGGUGCGUAGGUGGCAAAGUAAGUUGGAUGUGAAAUUCUGGGGCUCAACCUCAGAAUUGCAUUCAAUACUGCUUAGCUAGAGAGCUGUAGAGGAGACUGGAAUUUACGGUGUAGCAGUGAAAUGCGUAGAUAUCGUAAGGAACGCCAGUGGCGAAAGCGAGUCUCUGGGCAGCAUCUGACACUGAGGCACGAAGGCCAGGGGAGCAAACGGG